UGUAUGUAGUGUAUAGUCGAGUGCUUG
Molecule: small RNA, 27 nt
Filed under: Bombyx mori (domestic silkworm)
Lineage: Eukaryota; Metazoa; Arthropoda; Insecta; Lepidoptera; Bombycidae
Description: ovarian small RNA-35499
Source: RNAcentral